UAAAAAAAUACCAAUUUUGAAAAGUUCUUCAGAUUGAGCUAUUUUUCUGUCAUGCAUGUGGUUGUCAGUCUCAUUUCCGGCUGGCAGUUUGAAAACCAACCUGCCGAAGCAGCUAUCUUUGUCAUAAAUUUAACAUGACAGCUUCUCAGCAGGGCUUUCAAUUAGGAUCCUAAAAAAAAAAAAAAAUUAGAAAGAUUGAAAGUGUAAGUCCAAAUGCGAUGAGCAAAUGCUAUUUUAUGGGAGACCCGUAUAUACUUGUUUUUGUUAGACUCCAUGAUGAUCAGGAACCUGCAAUGCCAAUUGAAUAAAAAACUCUGUGUAAAACAAAACAAAACAGAAAUGUAAACAUAAACAAAAAUAAACUAGUUACAGUGAUAUAAAAAUGCCUCCACAUUCCCACUGGUAAUGCGGACGUGGUUUUGCCAUCACAGAAGAUUCGCGCACUGGGUGUCAUGAAGCACAAGCAGCCAGUUGGCAUUUCCUCCAGAGCUGAGGGAUGCGGAUGCAAGGAAGGGGUUUUGGUGUCAUCUGGUAGAAGAACAAAAAAAUCACAGAAGAGUGUGAAGACUGCAAAUAUUUAUUGAUGAACUGAGAGUCAGAUCCUUUUCAUCAAGCUAUGACAGAGAUGUCCAAGCUGCUGCACAGAUGAGGGCAAUCUCCCCCAUCGUGGCUGAGACAGGAGCUACAGAAGGUGAGAUGGCACUGAACAUGGGAAAUAAAUGAAGUGUUCUUGUCA
RNAcentral lists this long non-coding RNA (736 nucleotides) under Anas platyrhynchos platyrhynchos (common mallard). RNAcentral's name for it is "lncRNA (ENSAPLG00000019591.1)". The record is from RNAcentral. Lineage: Eukaryota; Metazoa; Chordata; Aves; Anseriformes; Anatidae.